RNAcentral lists this ribosomal RNA (368 nucleotides) under uncultured organism. Its description in RNAcentral is "bacterial SSU rRNA". It matches the Rfam family "Bacterial small subunit ribosomal RNA", at positions 526 to 896 of the family's 1533-position model. The record is from RNAcentral.
CGUAGGUGGCAAGCGUUGUCCGGAUUUAUUGGGUUUAAAGGGUGCGUAGGCGGCCCUGUAAGUCAGUGCUGAAAUAUCCCGGCUUAACCGGGAGGGUGGCAUUGAUACUGCAGGGCUUGAGUGAAGUCGAGGUAGGCGGAAUUGACGGUGUAGCGGUGAAAUGCUUAGAUAUCGUCAAGAACACCGAUAGUGAAGACAGCUUACUAGGCUUAUACUGACGCUGAGGCACGAAAGUGUGGGGAUCAAACAGGAUUAGAUACCCUGGUAGUCCACACUGUAAACGUUGAUUACUCGCUGUUGGCGAUAUACAGCCAGCGGCCAAGCGCAAGCGAUAAGUAAUCCACCUGGGGAGUACGCCGGCAACGGUG